GGGACUGUAGCUCAGCUGGUUAGAGUACCACGUUGACAUCGUGGGGGUCGGCGGUUCGAUUCCGUCCAGUCCCACCA
RNAcentral lists this transfer RNA (77 nucleotides) under Clostridia bacterium. RNAcentral describes it as "tRNA-Val". It matches the Rfam family "tRNA". Rfam says of the family: Transfer RNA (tRNA) molecules are approximately 80 nucleotides in length. RNAcentral also lists the same sequence under 2 other names. Lineage: Bacteria; Bacillati; Bacillota; Clostridia. The record is from RNAcentral.